RNAcentral lists this long non-coding RNA (1631 nucleotides) under Homo sapiens (human). RNAcentral describes it as "long non-coding RNA NONHSAT194312.1". Lineage: Eukaryota; Metazoa; Chordata; Mammalia; Primates; Hominidae. The record is from RNAcentral.
GGCGGCUCCCGCUUCAGCCUCGGCAGUGGCGUCGGCGACGGCGGUGUCGAGGCAGCCGCCAGCGUUCGGCCAAGUGUCAGCCGGCAGCGACGGCGCUAGAGCUGGGAGCUGGGGACGCGCGCGCCGGACCUUCCACAGCCUCCGCCCAGAGCCUGAGGCGCCGGGGCCGGGGGAGCCGGGGGGCGGGCGGGCGAGCGGGCCGGGGGGAGGGUGGGGGAUGGCGCGGACCCUGCGGCCGUCCCCGCUGUGUCCUGGAGGCGGCAAAGCACAACUUUCCUCCGCUUCUCUCCUCGGAGCCGGGCUCCUGCUGCAGCCCCCGACGCCACCUCCGCUGCUGCUGCUGCUCUUCCCGCUGCUGCUCUUCUCCAGGCUCUGUGGUGCCUUAGCUGGACCAAUUAUUGUGGAGCCACAUGUCACAGCAGUAUGGGGAAAGAAUGUUUCAUUAAAGUGUUUAAUUGAAGUAAAUGAAACCAUAACACAGAUUUCAUGGGAGAAGAUACAUGGCAAAAGUUCACAGACUGUUGCAGUUCACCAUCCCCAAUAUGGAUUCUCUGUUCAAGGAGAAUAUCAGGGAAGAGUCUUGUUUAAAAAUUACUCACUUAAUGAUGCAACAAUUACUCUGCAUAACAUAGGAUUCUCUGAUUCUGGAAAAUACAUCUGCAAAGCUGUUACAUUCCCGCUUGGAAAUGCCCAGUCCUCUACAACUGUAACUGUGUUAGUUGAACCCACUGUGAGCCUGAUAAAAGGGCCAGAUUCUUUAAUUGAUGGAGGAAAUGAAACAGUAGCAGCCAUUUGCAUCGCAGCCACUGGAAAACCCGUUGCACAUAUUGACUGGGAAGGUGAUCUUGGUGAAAUGGAAUCCACUACAACUUCUUUUCCAAAUGAAACGGCAACGAUUAUCAGCCAGUACAAGCUAUUUCCAACCAGAUUUGCUAGAGGAAGGCGAAUUACUUGUGUUGUAAAACAUCCAGCCUUGGAAAAGGACAUCCGAUACUCUUUCAUAUUAGACAUACAGUAUGCUCCUGAAGUUUCGGUAACAGGAUAUGAUGGAAAUUGGUUUGUAGGAAGAAAAGGUGUUAAUCUCAAAUGUAAUGCUGAUGCAAAUCCACCACCCUUCAAAUCUGUGUGGAGCAGGUAAUGUUGGAUGGACAAUGGCCUGAUGGUUUAUUGGCUUCAGACAAUACUCUUCAUUUUGUCCAUCCAUUGACUUUCAAUUAUUCUGGUGUUUAUAUCUGUAAAGUGACCAAUUCCCUUGGUCAAAGAAGUGACCAAAAAGUCAUCUACAUUUCAGAUCCUCCUACUACUACCACCCUUCAGCCUACAAUUCAGUGGCAUCCCUCAACUGCUGACAUCGAGGAUCUAGCAACAGAACCUAAAAAAUUGCCCUUCCCAUUGUCAACUUUGGCAACAAUUAAGGAUGACACAAUUGCCACGAUCAUUGCUAGUGUAGUGGGUGGGGCUCUCUUCAUAGUACUUGUAAGUGUUUUGGCUGGAAUAUUCUGCUAUAGGAGAAGACGGACGUUUCGUGGAGACUACUUUGCCAAGAACUACAUUCCACCAUCAGAUAUGCAAAAAGAAUCACAAAUAGAUGUUCUUCAACAAGAUGAGCUUGAUUCUUACCCAGACAGUGU